UGUGUGUGUGUGUCUCUUUGGUUAACUUGAAACGAAGUCUUAUAGACAGGUCUAAACAGCAAAUCCUCUUUUAAUACAGAAUUCAUUGUUGAAUAUGAGAUUUUGGUACAUGGAAGAAGGAAUAUG
This is a small nucleolar RNA of Perognathus longimembris pacificus (Pacific pocket mouse), 126 nucleotides long. RefSeq annotates it as small nucleolar RNA SNORA40. Lineage: Eukaryota; Metazoa; Chordata; Mammalia; Rodentia; Heteromyidae. The transcript has a single exon. The record is from RefSeq and is a predicted model, not a curated record.